Pyrus x bretschneideri (Chinese white pear) is the source of this 2120-nucleotide RNA transcript. It is a transcript of the gene named NADH dehydrogenase (ubiquinone) complex I, assembly factor 6, with no coding region annotated. NCBI's taxonomy places the organism in Eukaryota, Viridiplantae, Streptophyta, Magnoliopsida, Rosales, Rosaceae. The record is from RefSeq and is a predicted model, not a curated record. The transcript is spliced from 5 exons.
CCCUCUCUUCCUCCUCCUCUUUGAGCUUCCUUGGACGGCUGGAAUUUUCCAUCUCCCUCUGGAAGACUCUAAUUUUUGUUUUCUUCUUUCUUUUUCUUUUACUCUUCUUCAUCUCAUAAUUCAAUUUCCGAAUUCUAAUUUAGGGAUUUAGGAGUUGGGCAUUUUUUAGAAUGGAUAGGUGUGCUUUAUUUGUAAUUUGUAAAGAAUCUGAGUUUUAAUUCACAUGAUAACUGAUAGGAUUGUUAUCUAAUUGAUGUAUCAUGUUUGAAUUCUGUUGGCAGCUCAGUAAUCUUUUUCCUGAAUUCUAAUUGAUUAUCAGACUAAGCUUGCAGAUUUGGGGUUUUCAGGCGAUCGGUCCUCAAGCUUUAGAUCCUAACUCAUCCGAAUCAAGUUUUAAAUGCAAUUUGAGGAUAUUGUGUUACUCUUGGAAAUAGAGUAGUCAUAUGUUUGUUAAAGGAACCACGGUUGAGAUUUGAUGAAUGGUGCUUCAGCAUCUAGUAGCUUAAGAUCAGCUUUCUCAUACUGUGUACAGCAAGUCCGUAGUUAUGAUUACCAUAACUACCUUUGCCUGCUUGAACUCCCGCCUCACAUGCGGAAGGUUGCAUUUGCAGUCCGUGCCUUAAAUGUUGAAACAGCUCGUGCUAUGGAUGUUGCUUCUGAUCCCAGGGUUGGUCUUAUGCGCCUUGUCUGGUGGCAAGAAGCCAUAGAUAAGAUCUAUGCUAACAAGUUAAUUGAGCACCCAACAGCUCAAGCCCUGUUGUCAGUGGUACGCGAGUACAAAAUUAGCAAGGGAUGGCUAAAACGGUCUGUAGAAGCUCGGAUCAAUGAUGCAAGAAAGGAGGUUGGUGACACCCCAGAGAAAAUUGAAGACUUGGAGAAAUAUGCUGAAGAUACAGUAUCGACUAUUCUUUACAUGACACUUCAAGCUGGUGGUGUCAACUCCACUGCAGCCGAUCAUGCAGCAUCGCAUAUUGGUAAAGCAAAUGGGCUUCUUUUGCUGAUUAAGUCACUGCCAUACCAUGGUAGCCGCAACCGGCAUUUUUCUUACAUACCAAUCGAAGUGGCAGCUAAGCAUGGAUUGUUGGUUAAGCAUGGAGGUCAAUCGGAGAUUCAUUUGGACUCUCGCGAGGGCUUAUGUGAAGCUGUUUUUGAGAUGGCCUCAGUAGCUAAUGUCCAUUUGCAGAAGGCUCGUGACUUAGCUGGUACAGUACCUGUAGAGGCUCGCCCGGUGCUGCUGCCGGCGGUGCCUGCCCAGAUUCUUUUGGACUCACUGAGACAAGUGAAUUUUGAUGUGUUUGAUCCAAAGUUAGCAAGAGGGAUUCAUGGCAUUCCUCCUUUGUGGUAUCAGUUGAAAUUAAAGUGGCAUUCGUGGAGGGGAAAAUACUGAAAAGAAAUUGCAUUUCGCGUACGAGAGUUCUGCUACGGAUUAUAUUCCUUUGCAAGAAGAAACUAGUAUACUCAUGAGUCCUGGCUAACCAACCUUUCAAGGGGAUGGAUGGUUAUCCAAUUGAGAUUCAAGCACUCUUUUACUUUGCAAUGAGGUGUGCCCGACAGCUGUUGAAUCCAGAAUGUGGUGGCAAGGAGUUCCUUAAGCGAAUAGAUAAGCGCAUCUCAGCUCUUAACUUUCACAUCCAGACGUAAUACUGGCUUGAUUUUACACAGCUAAACAAUGUGUACCGCUACAAAACUGAGGAGUAUUCCCAUACUGCCUACGUCCCUUUGUGAUGUUGAGGAACGAAUUAUCGGUGCUAUGUAUGCACUAUGCAGUGGUCCUAGAUUCCACUCUGAAAAGUUUGUGCUCGUCUCUUUAGCUGGAUGGGGGGCGGUUAUAUAUGGGGGUUACAAGCUCUUCACAAAAGGCAAAGAGGACAAAAAGGAAGAGAGAGUUGAAGAACGGCCACACUAACUUUCAGGGGACCUGAAUAUAUGUGCAAAUAAAUAAACCGUGUUUUGGCGUCGGAAUAUUUGACAAUGAGGAUGCAAUUUCUGAUGUUACAGGACACCGUACUUUUUUAGGCAGUUUCUGUUGUACAUGGCAACUUUGUAACUACACGGUGCCUGUUCACUUUAUCAAAUGUUGGUUUUGCUUAUAGUGGAUAUGUUCUGCCCGACGCACCCAA